GAUGAAGAACGCAGCGAAAUGCGAUAAGUAGUGUGAAUUGCAGAAUUCAGUGAAUCAUCGAAUCUUUGAACGCACAUUGCGCCCCUUGGUAUUCCAUGGGGCAUGCCUGUUCGAGCGUCAUUUGUACCUUCAAGCUCUGCUUGGUGUUGGGUGUUUGUCUCGCCUCUGCGUGUAGACUCGCCUUAAAACAAUUGGCAGCCGGCGUAUUGAUUUCGGAGCGCAGUACAUCUCGCGCUUUGCACUCAUAACGACGACGUCCAAAAGUACAUUUUUACACUCUUGACCUCGGAUCAGGUAGGGAUACCGCUGAACUUAAGCAUAUCAAUAAGCGGAGGA
This 336-nucleotide unclassified non-coding RNA is filed under the name soil metagenome. RNAcentral's name for it is "partial contains 5.8S ribosomal RNA, internal transcribed spacer 2, and large subunit ribosomal RNA". The stretch from base 1 to 120 matches the Rfam family "5.8S ribosomal RNA", at positions 35 to 154 of the family's 154-position model. The record is from RNAcentral.